UACGUAGGGCGCAAGCGUUGUCCGGAAUUAUUGGGCGUAAAGAGCUCGUAGGCGGCUUGUCACGUCGGGUGUGAAAGCCCGGGGCUUAACCCCGGGUCUGCAUUCGAUACGGGCAGCUAGAGUGUGGUAGGGGAGAUCGAAUUCCUGGUGUAGCGGUGAAAUGCGCAGAUAUCAGGAGGAACACCGGUGGCGAAGGCGGAUCUCUGGGCCAUUACUGACGCUGAGGAGCGAAAGCGUGGGGAGCGAACAGGAUUAGAACCUACCGAGUC
Molecule: ribosomal RNA, 269 nt
Filed under: uncultured bacterium
Lineage: Bacteria
Description: partial 16S ribosomal RNA
Rfam family: Bacterial small subunit ribosomal RNA
Source: RNAcentral